RNAcentral lists this ribosomal RNA (468 nucleotides) under uncultured bacterium. RNAcentral's name for it is "partial 16S ribosomal RNA". It matches the Rfam family "Bacterial small subunit ribosomal RNA", at positions 28 to 507 of the family's 1533-position model. The record is from RNAcentral.
GACGAACGCUGGCGGCGUGCUUAACACAUGCAAGUCGAACGGAAAGGCCCUGCUUUUGUGGGGUGCUCGAGUGGCGAACGGGUGAGUAACACGUGAGUAACCUGCCCUUGACUUUGGGAUAACUUCAGGAAACUGGGGCUAAUACCGGAUAGGAGCUCUUGCUGCAUGGUGGGGGUUGGAAAGUUUCGGCGGUUGGGGAUGGACUCGCGGCUUAUCAGCUUGUUGGUGGGGUAGUGGCUUACCAAGGCUUUGACGGGUAGCCGGCCUGAGAGGGUGACCGGCCACAGUGGGACUGAGAUACGGCCCAGACUCCUACGGGAGGCAGCAGUGGGGAAUAUUGCACAAUGGGCGGAAGCCUGAUGCAGCAACGCCGCGUGCGGGAUGACGGCCUUCGGGUUGUAAACCGCUUUCGCCUGUGACGAAGCGUGAGUGACGGUAAUGGGUAAAGAAGCACCGGCUAACUACGUG